Molecule: ribosomal RNA, 990 nt
Filed under: Salmonella enterica subsp. enterica serovar Newport
Lineage: Bacteria; Pseudomonadati; Pseudomonadota; Gammaproteobacteria; Enterobacterales; Enterobacteriaceae
Description: partial 23S ribosomal RNA
Rfam family: Bacterial large subunit ribosomal RNA
Source: RNAcentral
CUGUAGCAAGGUUAACCGUAUAGGGGAGCCGAAGGGAAACCGAGUCUUAAUUGGGCGUUAAGUUGCAGGGUAUAGACCCGAAACCCGGUGAUCUAGCCAUGGGCAGGUUGAAGGUUGGGUAACACUAACUGGAGGACCGAACCGACUAAUGUUGAAAAAUUAGCGGAUGACCUGUGGCUGGGGGUGAAAGGCCAAUCAAACCGGGAGAUAGCUGGUUCUCCCCGAAAGCUAUUUAGGUAGCGCCUCGUGAAUUCAUCUCCGGGGGUAGAGCACUGUUUCGGCUAGGGGGCCAUCCCGGCUUACCAACCCGAUGCAAACUGCGAAUACCGGAGAAUGUUAUCACGGGAGACACACGGCGGGUGCUAACGUCCGUCGUGAAGAGGGAAACAACCCAGACCGCCAGCUAAGGUCCCAAAGUCAUGGUUAAGUGGGAAACGAUGUGGGAAGGCCCAGACAGCCAGGAUGUUGGCUUAGAAGCAGCCAUCAUUUAAAGAAAGCGUAAUAGCUCACUGGUCGAGUCGGCCUGCGCGGAAGAUGUAACGGGGCUAAACCAUGCACCGAAGCUGCGGCAGCGAACGUAUCACUUAAAGCGAUUCAGCGGGUUACGAUUGACGGAGCGAAGCGACGUCAAAGCGUAUACAAAGUCGAGUCGGUUUAAGGAUACGUUCGUUGGGUAGGGGAGCGUUCUGUAAGCCUGUGAAGGUGUGUCGUGAGGCAUGCUGGAGGUAUCAGAAGUGCGAAUGCUGACAUAAGUAACGAUAAAGCGGGUGAAAAGCCCGCUCGCCGGAAGACCAAGGGUUCCUGUCCAACGUUAAUCGGGGCAGGGUGAGUCGACCCCUAAGGCGAGGCCGAAAGGCGUAGUCGAUGGGAAACGGGUUAAUAUUCCCGUACUUGGUGUUACUGCGAAGGGGGGACGGAGAAGGCUAUGUUGGCCGGGCGACGGUUGUCCCGGUUUAAGCGUGUAGGUGUGUGUUCCAGGUAAAUCCGGUU